GACGGAGGGGGCAAGCGUUGUUCGGAAUUAUUGGGCGUAAAGGGCUCGUAGGCGGAUCCGCCAGUUUGACGUGAAAUCUCCACCGCUCACCGGGGAGGGGCCGUUGAAUACUACGGAUCUGGAGUUCGGCAGAGGACCAUGGAAUUUCGGGUGUAGCGGUGGAAUGCGUAGAUAUCGUUUGGAACGCCAAAGGUGAAAACAGACAGCUGGGAGUGUGCUGACGCUGAGACACGAAAGCCAGGGGAGCGAACGGG
This 254-nucleotide ribosomal RNA is filed under the name uncultured bacterium. RNAcentral's name for it is "partial 16S ribosomal RNA". It matches the Rfam family "Bacterial small subunit ribosomal RNA", at positions 524 to 776 of the family's 1533-position model. The record is from RNAcentral.